AAAAAAAGAUGGCGGAGACCAAGACGGUAGGCGUGGUUGGCAAUGGCCAGAUGGGCUCCGGUAUCGCCCAACUUGCCGCUUUACAUGGGCUCCAUGUCUGGCUUCUUGACACGGAUCCUGAUGCUCUUUCCAAAGCUAGAAAAUCUGUCACUAGUAACAUCCACCGUCUCGUCUCCAAAGGUCAUCUCUCUCAGGCAGCUUUCAAUGAUGCUGUGGGGCGUUUAUAUUGUACCUCAAAGUUGGAGGAGCUGCGUGAGGCAGAUUUUGUUAUUGAAGCUAUUGUGGAAUCUGAAGAUGUGAAGAAAAAGUUAUUUCUUGAAGUUGACAAGUUUGUUAAAAGUUCAGCCAUUUUGGCUUCUAAUACAAGUUCUAUCUCCAUAACUCGUCUUGCCUCUGCAACUAGCAGGCCGAGCCAGGUAAUAGGCAUGCAUUUUAUGAAUCCUCCUCCAAUAAUGAAAUUGGUUGAGAUUGUGCGUGGUGCAGACACAUCAGAUGAGACAUUUUAUGCAACCAGGGCCUUGGCAGAGAGGUUUGGCAAGACAGUUAUAUGCUCACAGGAUUUUUCUGGUUUCAUUGUAAACCGAAUCCUAAUGCCAAUGAUAAACGAAGCAAUUCAUACUCUUUAUACCGGAGUGGCAACAAAGGAGGACAUUGAUACAGGAAUGAAGUUAGGAACAAACCAUCCAAUGGGUCCUUUAGAGCUUGCAGAUUUUAUAGGAUUGGAUGUCUGCCUGUCAAUAAUGAAAGUGCUUCAUGCUGGCCUAGGGGAAAGUAAAUAUGCUCCCUGUCCUCUUCUUGUGCAGUAUGUUGAUGCCGGUCGUCUCGGACGAAAACGUGGUAUUGGAGUAUAUGACUAUCGUAAAACACCUGAACAAGUAAAGCCAUCAGCUCGGCUUUGAAAUUAUAGCAUAGUAUUUUGCCAAUAGUGCAACGCUUUGUAAAUAAAAUACAUGCAAAUAAGUGUCUACUACCAACUCCUUCAAUUGUGUUGUUUUCUUCCUUUGGAUCCUUGUAAAUUAAGAAAAAGUUCUAUAGAACGUGGGUAAGAUCCUCCAAAAAGGGAAAGAUUGUGCCUGAAGUAAUGAAC
Molecule: unclassified non-coding RNA, 1087 nt
Filed under: Hevea brasiliensis (rubber tree)
Lineage: Eukaryota; Viridiplantae; Streptophyta; Magnoliopsida; Malpighiales; Euphorbiaceae
Source: RNAcentral